CGAAUUUAUUAUUAAGUUCAAGUGAUUCUUUGAAAUGACCAGUACUAUUGUCUAAGUUAUAUAUAUAUAUAUUCGAUAUUCGGUAAAUAUCGAAUAGCAAACAGUAUUAAUAUCUUGUACCAAAUCUAAUUUCAAAUAUCGAAAUAUUAAAAUUUUACUUCCAAAUAUCAUAUCAAAUACCAAAUAAUCGAAUAUCAAUUACCAAAUUUUUUGAUUGGAUUUGAUAAUUUGAUUUUUGGUAUUUCAUGCCAGCCCUACCUGGAAAUACUGGUUGCAUUUUGACAUAGCGGUAACUUUUCCUUCUUCUACCUCCUUCAGGGUUCAAGCAUCUGAUGAUUUAUACAGGGGAGGGCAUAGUUAUCAGCAACGCAUUUCUAUUCCGCCGCGAAUCCAGCAUAUCCAACUAAUAAUGGAGAUGAAAAAAAGUAAAGCAUUAGAUAAUAAUAUUUCUGAAGAGGCCAACAUAUCCCAGCAUUCAAAAUUGAGGGACCCCCUUGAUUGCUUGAUUUCUUUUUACUCUCUCUUGCCUCGUGAUUAUGAGUUUUAUAAGGGCACUAUGAUCCGGUUAUGAGUCGCACAAGGUUUUGUUGAUCCCAAGUGGAAAUGUGAACUCAAGGUUGUGGUGAAUCGACAUUUUGAGCACAUGUGUUAGAAGAAUUUUAUUGUGCAAUCUAGAUUUGACAUGGGCAUAGGAAGGAUGAAGUAUAAGGUUGGUAAUGUUGUUUCCACAAGCUUAUAUUUGCUGUAAAGGAAGCCGAAUUGAGUAGUAUUGAUAGAGAGGUCCAACAUCUGAUGAAGCUACCUUUAAUAUUCUAAAAAGUUUUAAACAAUUGCGCACUCUUUAUUCUUUUGGCAUCACGGUGAAUCGAUCAAUCGUAUACCUUAUGAUUUUUUCCUUUAGCUAUAAUAUUUGAGGACUUUAGAUUUGCAUUCAACUAAUAUAUAUGAGUUGCCUGA
Molecule: long non-coding RNA, 957 nt
Organism: Capsicum annuum
Lineage: Eukaryota; Viridiplantae; Streptophyta; Magnoliopsida; Solanales; Solanaceae
Exons: 2
Source: RefSeq, a predicted model, not a curated record